This 65-nucleotide transfer RNA is filed under the name Calacanthia angulosa. RNAcentral's name for it is "tRNA-Tyr". Lineage: Eukaryota; Metazoa; Arthropoda; Insecta; Hemiptera; Saldidae. The record is from RNAcentral.
AAUAGGGUGGCUGAAAUUAUAGGUUGUAAAUUGUAAAUUUAUAUAUGGUUGUUUAACCCUCUAUU